UUCUACCGUCCGUCUCUAUCUCCCCUCCGGCAACCGGCCGGAGCCGUUCCCCGCUCCGUAAAAGAGGACGGAGACCAGAGCCGUUCUCGCAGUGGCGGAAUCCAAAAUCGUCAACUCGACGACCCAAACAUUGCCGCCCGGGCGAACUGGGAUCGCAGACCCGUCCUGACUCGGCUUAAUUUCUUCUCUGGUCGGCAUGGGGCUGUGGUCAUUUCUUGAGGGUGUCCUGCUUAUUGCUAACGCUUUGGCAAUAUUAAAUGAAGACCGUUUCCUUUCUCCCAGAGGAUGGAGCUUCGCUGACGCUAGAGGCGUGCAGGGAGCAAACACCUUCAAAGGACAGAUGAUUGGCCUCAUAUACGCAGCUCAAUACAUGAGAUUUCCAUUGAUCCUUCUUAAUGGAAUCACUAUACUUGUGAAGUUUGUUUCAUUCUGACAGUGGGAAGUGGUACGCUAUGCAGCUCUUCUUCGGUUUGCUUCCUUGAAGAUUGAGAUAUUUGCACUCAAACCAGGCUUUAUGUAUAUCUUCUCGUGAUUCACCCCUUCUUCCAAUAGUCUUCUGUUGAUGGUUGUAUAGCUGUGCCUUGUAUAUGCACACUGCUGAGAUGUGCAGUUGUGCUCAGCUAGUAAUUUAUUGGUUAUCCGCAACACACUAGACGGUAUGUGCCUAACUGUGAUCUUUCAUUGUUCUUUUGUAUGUACAUGAUGUAUUUGCAUUUGUCCACUGUAAUUUUUUCUUGUUAUUCCUGAUAUUUUUUUGCAUGAUGGGAUUUUUAUUAUCAAGCAAUGGAGCACUCAUGUUUCCAUCUUCAUAGAAGCAUCAGAGAAGUUCUUAUGUGUAUGAUUUAGAGUGCCUCUCAUAAACUAGACACUGUAUAGUAUUAUAUGGUUGGGUGCCACCACUUCUAUGAUAGAGUAUAUUUCAUUAGUUAUUAUUGGGUUUUUUUUAUCAUAUGUGUUCAAUGUCAAACGUGGGUGUCAUUUAUUGGACGUCGGAGUGAUUGCUCUGAAUAAAGGUUAUGGCCAAUUCCUAUUGUG
This 1035-nucleotide ribosomal RNA is filed under the name Triticum aestivum (bread wheat). RNAcentral's name for it is "partial small subunit ribosomal RNA". The record is from RNAcentral. Lineage: Eukaryota; Viridiplantae; Streptophyta; Magnoliopsida; Poales; Poaceae.